Molecule: ribosomal RNA, 498 nt
Filed under: Escherichia coli
Lineage: Bacteria; Pseudomonadati; Pseudomonadota; Gammaproteobacteria; Enterobacterales; Enterobacteriaceae
Description: bacterial SSU rRNA
Rfam family: Bacterial small subunit ribosomal RNA
Source: RNAcentral
UUAAAUUGAAGAGUUUGAUCAUGGCUCAGAUUGAACGCUGGCGGCAGGCCUAACACAUGCAAGUCGAACGGUAACAGGAAGCAGCUUGCUGUUUUGCUGACGAGUGGCGGACGGGUGAGUAAUGUCUGGGAAACUGCCUGAUGGAGGGGGAUAACUACUGGAAACGGUAGCUAAUACCGCAUAACGUCGCAAGACCAAAGAGGGGGACCUUAGGGCCUCUUGCCAUCGGAUGUGCCCAGAUGGGAUUAGCUAGUAGGUGGGGUAACGGCUCACCUAGGCGACGAUCCCUAGCUGGUCUGAGAGGAUGACCAGCCACACUGGAACUGAGACACGGUCCAGACUCCUACGGGAGGCAGCAGUGGGGAAUAUUGCACAAUGGGCGCAAGCCUGAUGCAGCCAUGCCGCGUGUAUGAAGAAGGCCUUCGGGUUGUAAAGUACUUUCAGCGGGGAGGAAGGGAGUAAAGUUAAUACCUUUGCUCAUUGACGUUACCCGCAGAA